UAGCGGACACCCAAGAACUUACAGUAG
RNAcentral lists this unclassified non-coding RNA (27 nucleotides) under Mus musculus (house mouse). RNAcentral describes it as "piRNA piR-mmu-68118107". The record is from RNAcentral. Lineage: Eukaryota; Metazoa; Chordata; Mammalia; Rodentia; Muridae.